UACGUAGGGCGCAAGCGUUGUCCGGAAUUAUUGGGCGUAAAGAGCUCGUAGGCGGUUUGUCGCGUCUGGUGUGAAAAUCCAUGGCUCAACUGUGGACUUGCAUCGGGUACGGGCAGACUAGAGUGCGGUAGGGGAGACUGGAAUUCCUGGUGUAGCGGUGGAAUGCGCAGAUAUCAGGAGGAACACCGAUGGCGAAGGCAGGUCUCUGGGCCGCAACUGACGCUGAGGAGCGAAAGCAUGGGGAGCGAACAGG
RNAcentral lists this ribosomal RNA (253 nucleotides) under uncultured bacterium. RNAcentral's name for it is "partial 16S ribosomal RNA". It matches the Rfam family "Bacterial small subunit ribosomal RNA", at positions 524 to 776 of the family's 1533-position model. The record is from RNAcentral.